Molecule: long non-coding RNA, 513 nt
Filed under: Scleropages formosus (Asian bonytongue)
Lineage: Eukaryota; Metazoa; Chordata; Actinopteri; Osteoglossiformes; Osteoglossidae
Description: lncRNA (ENSSFOG00015032243.1)
Source: RNAcentral
CGGCUGUUGAGCUCCUUCUGUGUUCCAGUGGAACAUCUGUGUUUUACUGUGCAAAUGAGAAUGGCCAGGAUGUUACAUACAGCUGGACUGUCAGUAACAGCAUCCUGGGAGAACGGACUGUAUUCAGUAACAGUUGUAAAUAUAUAUCUUUGAAGAACAUGUCUGGAACUGUCCGCUGCUCUGUGGAGAAGAAGGGCUGCAGUGCACAGAGUGAACCUCAGAACUUUGACUGCACAGAACACCCACAUGAGACAAGACAUCCCUGGGGUGUCAUUGCUCUGAUCGUUGUCUGCGCACUGCUGCUUUGUCUGACCAUGGCUGCACUUCUGAUCUGUGUCCGAAGAAGCUACAAAACGCAUCCUCUGAAUGAGAAUUCUGCACAAUCCAGUUCCUCACCGGAGGCCACCGAUCACGAGCUAGUUUUUUAUACGCAAGUCAGACUCUCACGAUGACGCCUGUGAGCUUUUAAUUGGGCAAAAUAAAUGGUUGACAUAUUUUAUGAUUUUAUCGAGG